Triticum aestivum (bread wheat) is the source of this 2544-nucleotide long non-coding RNA. RefSeq lists it as uncharacterized. NCBI's taxonomy places the organism in Eukaryota, Viridiplantae, Streptophyta, Magnoliopsida, Poales, Poaceae. The record is from RefSeq and is a predicted model, not a curated record. The transcript is spliced from 3 exons.
UCGUGAGCAAACCCUAGUGUGGCGGCUCCUGACAUAUCCUCUCUCCACGGCAGGCUGCGGCAUCACAACCUCCCGUCGACCAUCCAGCGUCUCUUUGGUUGGAUCUGGAAGAUGAGGGUCGGGACUGAGCCGAGGGAAGACUCAGAGAGUAGGGCGACGGGAAAGAGGUGAAGAAGGCAGUGCCGUGCUCGAUCAACGAUGCGAGGAACAUCUCUUCGCGUCGCAGGGAUGGGAUGGAAGCCGCUGGACUCGAUCUUCCAGUUCCGCACGACUCAAAGCGCCUCCUCAACUCCCCUUUUUAACCCUAGGCGCCCUUCAAAGAAUUGGAAGUGGGAGGGAACCGUGAGAUAGGCUGGGUCACCAGGUAAAUCUCACUCUUCAAGUGUUAUACUCUCUUAUAUCGUUCUGAUGGUGUCAGUUAACACAGAUUCUGGAAGGGACACCAUUUUUAUAUGCUAUCAUCACAGGCUAUGAUAAGAGAAUAUCUUAAGAUGUGUGCACUGCUAAUCUGUUAUUUAUUUUGUGGUGAGAUGUUUGUCUAUCUGCAAUCAUUUUCUUUUUUGCCAAAUAAAAUUUGAACUCACACGUGUUGUCUGAUGCCUGGCCAUUAAUUCAUAUUACCGUACAACCCUUCCUAUUAAAAAAUGUAAAUGACAAUAUGCAAGCUAACUCUAAAUUUCAUUUAUGCUGUCAGGAACAACAGAUGCUAUUGCCGAGGAUUUGACCUUAUGAGUUACGAUACAUUAAAGCAAAUGAUCCUGACUUUUCUUCCCUCCCGUGCUAUUUAUAUACUUUUGUUCUUGCAGUUUCCCAUCUAGGUAACAGCUCACACGUCGUGAGUUUUCGGAAUGAGCAUAUUUCCAUUGCUUCGUACAGAAGCAUGUUAAAUUCUAUGACUCAAUAAAACAUGGUAAUCUUAGGUAAUGUAAAAGCGAAAUUCAUUAAUUGGCAUCUGUCCCAGUUGUGCAAAAACAUGUUUGGCUAUUGUUUCCUGCGACUUCUUAGGGUUCACAAUGAUUCUACUAAAGAAGUGUGAUAAGCUUCUGAGAUCCCGGUACAAAAGAGUUUCUGAGUCAGAUGAGCACUCUCUGUAUUUGGAUUUGUUUAUCAUGCUAUAUACUCAUGCAAGGGAGAACUUUUCUGAUGUAGUAAAGGAUGUCAAGGUGGACUCUGAAACUCUGUUCAAACAACAAUUUUUUUAUAUAUUUCCUAUUGCGUGAACGGAAGCUAAGCUUUCUAGACGUAGCCAAGUAAUGCAUUAUACACUUCUAUCAUUUGAGGCGCCAUGGUUGCAUUUAUUAUGUUAUUUGAAACUCUAUAUGUUUAUAUAGACCAGUCUUUUUUGGUUUGAUCAGUUUUGCUGCCUUUCUCUAUGGUCAGGUAUUCUUUACUUGCAACUGAAAUAUCAUGGUUGUUGCUUUGUGGAGAAAAUAAUGCUAUUAGUUUGACUAGCGAGGAUCUGUACAACUCGGGUGAUCAAAGAUUCUUAUCAUACUGCAGGUAUCCUAGGACCUUACAUAACAUUUUUGCCCUAUGUCCAUAUGUUCAAGUUGAUAUUGGAAGGAGCAGGAACAUAAUUGGAGCCGGCUGACCAAAAUGAAAGUAAUAACACUUUGCAACAAGGCUUGUUGAAACAGGAAUAAGAGUAGGCAGAGCAGCUGCAAGCCAAAACAUCAAGAUCUUACAUUUACAUGAGUGAAGGUGCCAUAUGUUCCUAUUCAUGAUCACUUUAUAUAUCGCUCACGUACAAAAACUAUGGCAGUUUCUCUUGAAAAAAAAUCAAAACCACAUGUGUCUAAUGUUGUGAUCACUUAUUGUAAUUUUUUUUGCAUGUAUUGAGGCAAGUGGCUAAAUGCGGAAAGGUACCACACUUUAUUAUGGGCAUGUAUAAGCAAUGUCAUGAGAGUGGAUCUAUAUUAUAUUUCCCAGCUUGAAAAAAAAUCAGUAAGGCUGUUCCAUGGCCAAACUAAAUUUCUAAAUUUGAUAUUAGAUACGUAUGAUAGGUGAUGUUCUGUUACGGAUAUUAAAAUAUAUGCUAUCUGAAUAGCGAUGCUAUUGUAUGCUACAUCAAUAUACACCAUAAUAUUAUUGUUUACAUUAUGUUGUUGCUUUAUUUUCAUCUGACUGUAGUUUUUUUUGCAUGUGAUACUACUUAACAACCUACCACCACUUGACUGAGCUCUUUGGAGGUGAUUUUUACCUCAAUAAAACAUUUCUUAUUGUAGAUCAUAUGAAAUUCUUCAAUCAGAGGAGCUCCUCAAUGCAUAAGCCAAAGGCACAUUCAAAGAAAAGCAAGGAAUGGUCAGUGAGAAAUGAUAUUUGUAUUUCAACAGUUUCUAAGAAAAGACUGUAAUUUUCAUCUCUAUUCUAUGAAUAAGUCUGACAUGUUUUUUGACAAACGGUUCUUUUGACCAUCCAGAUUUUAGUGUUAUAUGGACUUCGAUUAGUCCAUGUUUUAAUGCUUUGCAUGUGUAUCCCCAAAUGCAAAUAUUGUUGAAAUGUAAGAACACAAAUGAGCAGAAGCGUUAGAUAACCAUUUGUUCC